CAGCCGCCGCGGUAAUACGUAGGGUGCGAGCGUUAAUCGGAAUUACUGGGCGUAAAGCGUGCGCAGGCGGUUGUGUAAGACAGAUGUGAAAUCCCCGGGCUCAACCUGGGAACUGCAUUUGUGACUGGCAAGCUAGAGUAUGGCAGAGGGGGGUGGAAUUCCGCGUGUAGCAGUGAAAUGCGUAGAUAUGCGGAGGAACACCGAUGGCGAAGGCAGCCCCCUGGGCCAAUACUGACGCUCAUGCACGAAAGCGUGGGGAGCAAACAGGAUUAGAUACCCCUGUAGUCCCUGUCUCUUAUAC
RNAcentral lists this ribosomal RNA (301 nucleotides) under uncultured bacterium. Its description in RNAcentral is "partial 16S ribosomal RNA". It matches the Rfam family "Bacterial small subunit ribosomal RNA", at positions 509 to 807 of the family's 1533-position model. The record is from RNAcentral.